AAAUAGAUACCCGUGGUAGUCCACGCCGUAAACGUUGGGCGCUAGAUGUGGGGGACCUUUCCACGGUUUCCGUGUCGUAGCUAACGCAUUAAGCGCCCCGCCUGGGGAGUACGGCCGCAAGGCUAAAACUCAAAGGAAUUGACGGGGGCCCGCACAAGCGGCGGAGCAUGCGGAUUAAUUCGAUGCAACGCGAAGAACCUUACCAAGGCUUGACAUACACGAGAACGGGCCAGAAAUGGUCAACUCUUUGGACACUCGUGAACAGGUGGUGCAUGGUUGUCGUCAGCUCGUGUCGUGAGAUGUUGGGUUAAGUCCCGCAACGAGCGCAACCCUCGUCGCAUGUUGCCAGCACGUUAUGGUGGGGACUCAUGUGAGACUGCCGGGGUCAACUCGGAGGAAGGUGGGGAUGACGUCAAAUCAUCAUGCCCCUUAUGUCUUGGGCUUCACGCAUGCUACAAUGGCCGGUACAAAGGGCUGCGAUGUCGUAAGGCGGAGCGAAUCCCAAAAAGCCGGUCUCGAGUUCGGAUUGAGGUCUGCGUAACC
Molecule: ribosomal RNA, 543 nt
Filed under: uncultured bacterium
Lineage: Bacteria
Description: bacterial SSU rRNA
Rfam family: Bacterial small subunit ribosomal RNA
Source: RNAcentral